RNAcentral lists this ribosomal RNA (591 nucleotides) under uncultured bacterium. Its description in RNAcentral is "bacterial SSU rRNA". It matches the Rfam family "Bacterial small subunit ribosomal RNA", at positions 641 to 1229 of the family's 1533-position model. The record is from RNAcentral.
CUAGAAUGUGGGAGAGGUAGAUGGAAUUGGUGGUGUAGGGGUAAAAUCCGUAGAUAUCACCAGGAAUACCGAUUGCGAAGGCGAUCUACUGGAACAUUAUUGACGCUGAGGCAUGAAAGCGUGGGGAGCAAACAGGAUUAGAUACCCUGGUAGUCCACGCCCUAAACGAUGCACACUAGUUGUUGCGAUGCUAGUCAUUGCAGUAAUGCACUUAACAGAUUAAGUGUGCCGCCUGGGGAGUACGGUCGCAAGAUUAAAACUCAAAGGAAUAGACGGGGACCCGCACAAGCGGUGGAGCAUGUGGUUUAAUUCGAAGAUACACGAAGAACCUUACCUGGGCUUGAUAUCCUAAGAAUCCUGUAGAGAUAUGGGAGUGCUAGUUUACUAGAACUUAGAGACAGGUGCUGCACGGCUGUCGUCAGCUCGUGUCGUGAGAUGUUGGGUUAAGUCCCGCAACGAGCGCAACCCUCGUGAUUAGUUGCUAACAGUUCGGCUGAGCACUCUAAUCAGACUGCCUUCGCAAGGAGGAGGAAGGUGAGGACGACGUCAAGUCAUCAUGGCCCUUAUGCCCAGGGCUACACACGUGCUACA